This 253-nucleotide ribosomal RNA is filed under the name uncultured bacterium. Its description in RNAcentral is "partial 16S ribosomal RNA". It matches the Rfam family "Bacterial small subunit ribosomal RNA", at positions 524 to 776 of the family's 1533-position model. The record is from RNAcentral.
UACGGAAGGUCCGGGCGUUAUCCGGAUUUAUUGGGUUUAAAGGGAGCGUAGGCCGGGGAUUAAGUGUGUUGUGAAAUGUAGGCGCCCAACGUCUGACUUGCGGCGCAUACUGGUUCCCUUGAGUACGCGCAACGCCGGCGGAAUUCGUCGUGUAGCGGUGAAAUGCUUAGAUAUGACGAAGAACCCCGAUUGCGAAGGCAGCCGGCGGGAGCGCAACUGACGCUGAAGCUCGAAGGUGCGGGUAUCGAACAGG